GGGUAUAAGUAGUGAAUAGGAGUGGGUAUAAGUAGUGAAUAGGAGUGGGUAUAAGUAGUGAAUAGGAGUGGUAUAUAGGGGUGGGUAUAAGUAGUGAAUAGUAGUGGGUAUAAGUAGUGGGUAUAAGUAGUGAAUAGGAGUGGGUAUAAGUAGUGAAUAGGAGUGGGUAUAAGUAGUGAAUAGGAGUGGGUAUAAGUAGUGAAUAGUAGUGGGUAUAAGUAGUGGGUAUAAGUAGUGAAUAGGAGUGGGUAUAAGUAGUGAAUAGUAGUGGGUAUAAGUAGUGAAUAAGAGUGGGUAUAAGUAGUGAAUAGGAGUGGGUAUAAGUAGUGAAUAAGAGUGGGUAUAAGUAGUGAAUAGGAGUGGGUAUAAGUAGUGAAUAGUAGUGGGUAUAAGUAGUGAAUAGGAGUGGGUAUAAGUAGUGAAUAGGACUGGGUAUAAGUAGUGAAUAGGAUAGAGUAUAAGUAGUGAAUAGGAGUGGGUAUACGUAGUGAAUAGGAGUGGGUAUAAGUGGUGAAUAGGAGUGGGUAUAAGUAGUGAAUAGGAGUGGGUAUAAGUAGUGAAUAGGAAUGGGUAUAAGUAGUGAAUAUGAGUGGGUAUAAGUAGUGAAUAGUAGUGGGUAUAAGUAGUGGGUAUAAGUAGUGAAUAGAAGUGGGUAUAUGUAGUGAAUAGAAGUGGGUAUAAGUAGUGAAUAUGAGUGGGUAUAAGUACUGAAUAGCAGUGGGUAUAAGUAGUGAAUAAGAGUGGGUAUAAGUAGUGAAUAGGAGUGGGUAUAAGUAGUGGGUAUAAGUAGUGAAUAUGAGUGGGUAUAAGUAGU
Long non-coding RNA from Oncorhynchus tshawytscha (Chinook salmon), 814 nucleotides. NCBI's taxonomy places the organism in Eukaryota, Metazoa, Chordata, Actinopteri, Salmoniformes, Salmonidae. The record is from Ensembl.